RNAcentral lists this non-coding RNA (173 nucleotides) under Archaeoteleia sp. ZL-2020. The record is from RNAcentral. Lineage: Eukaryota; Metazoa; Arthropoda; Insecta; Hymenoptera; Scelionidae.
UAAAGUAUAAUAACUGGCUGCGGAACUCGUUUGUCACCGUAGGACGCCUGUCUCAGACGUCGUGGCAACGAGAUUAACGAACCUAACGAAAAGUUUUACGACAAAACUCUUUAUGUUUCUUCUCCCUUUGGUUCAUGCAUCAAAAAUGGAAGGGGACGCCACAGCUAUUUUUU